AUUGAACGCUGGCGGCAGGCCUAACACGUGCAAGUCGAACGGUAACAGGAAGAAGCUUGCUUCUUUGCUGACGAGUGGCGGACGGGUGAGUAAUGUCUGGGAAACUGCCUGAUGGAGGGGGAUAACUACUGGAAACGGUAGCUAAUACCGCAUAAUGUCGCAAGACCAAAGAGGGGGACCUUCGGGCCUCUUGCCAUCGGAUGUGCCCAGAUGGGAUUAGCUAGUAGGUGGGGUAACGGCUCACCUAGGCGACGAUCCCUAGCUGGUCUGAGAGGAUGACCAGCCACACUGGAACUGAGACACGGUCCAGACUCCUACGGGAGGCAGCAGUGGGGAAUAUUGCACAAUGGGCGCAAGCCUGAUGCAGCUAUGCCGCGUGUAUGAAGAAGGCCUUCGGGUUGUAAAGUACUUUCAGCGGGGAGGAAGGGAGUAAAGUUAAUACCUUUGCUCAUUGACGUUACCCGCAGAAGAAGCACCGGCUAACUCCGUG
RNAcentral lists this ribosomal RNA (490 nucleotides) under uncultured bacterium. RNAcentral describes it as "partial 16S ribosomal RNA". It matches the Rfam family "Bacterial small subunit ribosomal RNA", at positions 30 to 507 of the family's 1533-position model. The record is from RNAcentral.